GGCUGCACCUGUGGCACAUGGAAGUUCCUAGGCUAGGAGUCAAAUCGGAACUACAGCUGCCAGCCUAUGCCACUGCCACAGUAACAUGGGAUCUGAGCCCCAUCUGUGAUCUACAUCACAGCCCAAGGCAACACCAGAUUCUUUAACCCACUGAGCAAGGCCAGGGAUUGAAUGCACAUCCUCAUGGAUACUAUUUGGGUUUGUUUCCAUUGAGCCACAACAGGAACUCCCUAAGAUUUAUAUUAAAGUCAGAAAUCACUCUAACUUACUUAUUAGUUCUUACAUUUCACUCAAUGACACAUUACUCAGUAGCAAUCUCAGUAAACGAACGGCUAGGAUGAAAAAAAUGACAUCUGUAUAAAAUCUGCAUUGCUAAAUGGACUCCUGUGACCACAUUUCAUUCAAAUUUCCUAUGACAUCUACCUAACAAAAACACGGAGAAAUAUUAUUGUGCAAGCUAUGUAAAAAGCCUUCAUUCAUAUAAUGAACUGAAUGUCCCAAAUAAAAGUUUACAUUAGCACAUAAGCAGCAGUGCAUGUAUUUUAGUUACCUUCAUUUUUUUAAGAUUAAUUUUUAUUUUAUUUUAAAGUUUGUUCAUGGCCUCUAAAAUAGCAAUAAUGGUAAGAAUAACACAAUUUUCAUAGCACUAUCAUUACUGUAGUAUGCCAACAGAUGUACUAUAGUGCAUCUAUAAACAAUAACAAUUUAGAACAAUAUAAAAUGACCUUUACUUUAAAUUUAAUUUAUGAAUUUAAAUUUAGUGCAUAAACCAUAUAUUAUAGGUAUAUGAAGUACAUAUAUCUAUUAUCUAUAAGUUACUUGUAAAUCAAAUUAUAAUGAAAUUUCAGAAUUAAAAUACAAUAGCAGUUUCAUUUGUUGUAUGAAAAUAGCAAGGAAUUAUUGUUACUAUUAGGGAUACAAGAAGAGCAUAGAUAGUGUACUAAAUAGACCAAAUAUUGAAGCAAAUAUUUAAUUUAUUCAAAGUAUGUACGAAGUAAUGUAAUGCCAUAAUAAGACCUAUGUUACUUUUAAAAGUUUUAUAUUUCUCACUCAGAAUCAAGACACUCUGACUAGUAGAGCUGGAUGGGCCCUUUAAAAUAAUUGAAAGUAAUCAACAGAACAAAAAAGUAAGAACCAACAAAGUUAAGUGACAUGACAGUGGUCAUACAGCUAGUGGCACAGGUGAGAACAGAUGUCUGGAUCCAGAAAUUUUAUUACAUUUUAGUGUUCAUCAAAGACAGCUUUCCCAGCACUGAAGUAAGUCUGGUUUAUGCUAGUAAGAUACGAAAUCUUUAACAAAAACUAGGAGGACUACUACUGAUAGUCUACCAUGUGAUGUGAUUCCCUCCUGAGAGUCAUCAUAAAAUCCAUUUAAGUGUGUUUUUAUUACAGAAAGAAAGAGUGGGAAGCAUUUUGAGAGAAAAAAGGUACUGGUGGAAAUGAAUGUUUUGCAUUAUUUUCUCCAUCUUAUUUAUUUCCUGAUCUUUAUAAAUUCUAGGAACAUAAUCUUAAAAACCAAACUACAGUUGUAAAACUAAACCUACAAAAAUCUGAAACAGUAAUUAUAAUAUUUUAAAAUAACUUAAUGUGAUCAGAAUGGACUCAAACAAAUCUGCCUUUUACCCUGGAGGGAGAUACUCUCUCUUUCAAGUCUGUUUAUUUUAGAAACAUCCUAGAAAAGGUAAAGACAAAAGUUGUCACAAGAAAGAGUAGAAACACCAUGGAGAACUGGCUUCUAACAGAUAAUAAUACCAUCUCUGGCAUCCACAAUAUAGGAAUAAUGGCACUUAAAAUGUAAAAAUUGAAAUCUGUUAUAUAAUGAGUUAUCAUCACUAAUGAUUUUCUAAAAAAAAUAGCUUUUUAUAGUUAAAUGUUGAAAAUUAAACGCUUCUUAAGCCUAAUUUGUCAAGUAAGUCUCAAUAAAGCUGAUACUUUAACAUAUGUAUUUCAUAUGUAAAAUAAAAAGAUCAACAAGUAUCAGGUGACUGUCUUUAGUGCCCCCAAGUCUUUGAUAAAGCAGCCUCUGGAAGAUACAUAGUUCAUCACAAUCAGGGAGUAACUGAUCCACAGUUUCUAUUUGGAAAACUGAAGGGAAAUACUUUUAAAUAUAAACAUACACUUAUAAAAUUAUACUAUCCUUUCCAAGGUCUAAACAAGGAAGUGGAACAAUAUUGGCUCUAGCUGGCUAAAACAAAACAAAACAAAAAAUUGCUGAUAAACAUUAAUUUGAGAAGUAUUUUAGAAAUAAAGCAAAUGGUAAGAACAUAUACUGUUAUCAGUCAAAUGAAUAUAAAUAACUUCCUUUAAAAAACAGUGAUCUUACACAGGCAUGGAGAAUCUUAAAGAACUAUUUAAUCUGACCUUUAAAUUAUCUGGAUAAAAAUCUAAUCUUCCUUUGAUGACCACACUAAGUAAAGCAUGAAAUAUUUCUCAUUUGCUACAGGAUAUAGGUUGUUAAAAGCUCAAGGAGUGAAAAAUAUAAGCUAAGAUUGCAUUCCAUUACACAAUAUAAUCACAUUGGAUCAUGAUAAAGCAUUACAUUAAGGGUUUGCAAUGGUGUUAAAUCUCCUCAAGAGUAACACAUAUUCACAAGAACAGCUGUGGAACAUUUGGGCAAUCGAGACAGAAAAGUAUUAAAGUAUACCCAUAAAUCAUGAAACUUGUAUAUUUGAAAAAUGAAUUAAUGCCCCUGAGUGUGAAGUAUAAUAAACAGGUGUCACAAAACAGAUAUAACAGUAAUAAUUUGAAGUUGAGACAAAUACAUCAUCGGCAAUAUUCAUAAAUUGUGUGAAAUAAGAUUUUCAGAAAUAUGAAUACAUAUAGAAUCACCUAAAAGUGACUAUUCAUGCUAAAUAUGAAAUAGUUUGGGAAAUUCUAUAAUAAACUUUACUUAUUUAUUCUAAAAUAAAAUUAUUUUAGAAAACAUGAUGAACACUUUCUAUCAAUUUCCUGAUUUCAAUAUGAUCAAUCUUUUACAAAGAUAUUUUUAAAUUUCUUGAAUAAGCUAAGAAUUUCUUUUUUUUGCUUUUUAGCACGGUACUCACGGCAUUUGGAAGUUCCCAGGCUAGGGGUCGAAUCAGAACUACACGUGACGGCCUACACCACAGCAAUGGCAGGAUUCGAGCCUUGUCUGCGACCUACACCACAGCUCACAGCAAGGCUGGAUCUCCCACCCACUGAGUGAGGCCAGGAUUGAACCCACAUCCUCAUGGAUUUUAGUUGGAUUCAUUUCCACCACGCCACAAAGGGAACUCCCCAAGCUAAGAAUUUCUGAAGGCACAUUUGUAUUGUUUGAUAUAUAAUUUAGUCACUUGACCAAAAUGUAUUUUUUUCUAUGUUUAAUCAUGUUAACAGCAAUAUACAUCCUAGAAUAAAAUAAAAUAACCUACAUUCAUUUAACACUGAAGUUUUAAUAUCUUUAUUAAUAGGUUCAUAGCUUUGUUAAUUACUUUUUAUUUAAAAAAAAAUCAAUGGAAGCGGGUCACAAAUAGGUAAUGAGAAAGAAAUGCAGAGCCAGACUUUUUUGCCAAACAAGGAUAAUAGCAAGUGGUCUGGAAGUUAAGGAGAAAAAGAGUUUCCUAAAAGAUCAAAGUAAUAAAAUGCUGCAGGGUAGGCAAACAGGAAGAGGUUUGGAAGUCCAAUUUAUUUUCAGUGCUUGGAGUAGAAUCAAAUUGCAAGGUCUAAGAGAAUGAAUGAAAAUGAAUAGAAGUAAAUAGUGUUGACUACUCUCUCAGUUAAUGACAUGUCUGUUCCAUUUAUAAUUGUUCAGAAGAAAUAGCUUAAAGUCAUCCUUCAUUCCUCCUUUUGCUAUCAUACUUCAUAUCCAAUUUAUCAGAAAAUACAGCUACCUCUGCCUUCAAAAUAUAUUAAGAAUAUAACCCCUUUCACUAUCAGAGCUGUUAUUUCCUAGGGCCAGUUCACCAUUAAUUCUUGCCCAGAUUACAGUGAUAGCCUUAUAUUUGGUACCUUGCUUUGAAGUUUCACCCCUAGAGUAUCUUGCUAAUCCUGUUGCAGAAGAAUCUUGUUUAGAAUGUAGCUCCGCUAUUAGGAACUCCUCGGCUCAGACUCUGCAAUAUUUCCCAUCUCAUUUUGAGUCAAAACCACCUCCUUACAAUACCGGACACAAUCUGUGCUCCCCCAUCCCCACUGACACUUCUUUAAUUAAUAUGAUACCAUUAUUCGUGCACUUCACUAUUAACAUAGGACAACUUGUAACUCCAGUAAGUGAGCAGAAGAGGAAUCAACUAUUCUCAAAUGAUUGUAUAAUAAUCAAGAAUAUAUAUAUUUUCACAUAUAAUAAUAUAUGCUAGAAAAUAAAAUAUGAUUAUUUUA
RNAcentral lists this long non-coding RNA (4332 nucleotides) under Sus scrofa (pig). Its description in RNAcentral is "lncRNA (ENSSSCG00055009291.1)". Lineage: Eukaryota; Metazoa; Chordata; Mammalia; Artiodactyla; Suidae. The record is from RNAcentral.